AGCGUACACGGUGGAUGCCCUGGCAGUCAGAGGCGAUGAAGGACGUGCUAAUCUGCGAUAAGCGUCGGUAAGGUGAUAUGAACCGUUAUAACCGGCGAUUUCCGAAUGGGGAAACCCAGUGUGAUUCGUCACACUAUCAUUAACUGAAUCCAUAGGUUAAUGAGGCGAACCGGGGGAACUGAAACAUCUAAGUACCCCGAGGAAAAGAAAUCAACCGAGAUUCCCCCAGUAGCGGCGAGCGAACGGGGAGGAGCCCAGAGCCUGAAUCAGUGUGUGUGUUAGUGGAAGCGUCUGGAAAGGCGCGCGAUACAGGGUGACAGCCCCGUACACAAAAAUGCACAUGCUGUGAGCUCGAUGAGUAGGGCGGGACACGUGGUAUCCUGUCUGAAUAUGGGGGGACCAUCCUCCAAGGCUAAAUACUCCUGACUGACCGAUAGUGAACCAGUACCGUGAGGGAAAGGCGAAAAGAACCCCGGCGAGGGGAGUGAAAAAGAACCUGAAACCGUGUACGUACAAGCAGUGGGAGCCUCUUUAUGGGGUGACUGCGUACCUUUUGUAUAAUGGGUCAGCGACUUAUAUUCUGUAGCAAGGUUAACCGAAUAGGGGAGCCGAAGGGAAACCGAGUCUUAACUGGGCGUUAAGUUGCAGGGUAUAGACCCGAAACCCGGUGAUCUAGCCAUGGGCAGGUUGAAGGUUGGGUAACACUAACUGGAGGACCGAACCGACUAAUGUUGAAAAAUUAGCGGAUGACUUGUGGCUGGGGGUGAAAGGCCAAUCAAACCGGGAGAUAGCUGGUUCUCCCCGAAAGCUAUUUAGGUAGCGCCUCGUGAAUUCAUCUCCGGGGGUAGAGCACUGUUUCGGCAAGGGGGUCAUCCCGACUUACCAACCCGAUGCAAACUGCGAAUACCGGAGAAUGUUAUCACGGGAGACACACGGCGGGUGCUAACGUCCGUCGUGAAGAGGGAAACAACCCAGACCGCCAGCUAAGGUCCCAAAGUCAUGGUUAAGUGGGAAACGAUGUGGGAAGGCCCAGACAGCCAGGAUGUUGGCUUAGAAGCAGCCAUCAUUUAAAGAAAGCGUAAUAGCUCACUGGUCGAGUCGGCCUGCGCGGAAGAUGUAACGGGGCUAAACCAUGCACCGAAGCUGCGGCAGCGACGCUUAUGCGUUGUUGGGUAGGGGAGCGUUCUGUAAGCCUGCGAAGGUGUGCUGUGAGGCAUGCUGGAGGUAUCAGAAGUGCGAAUGCUGACAUAAGUAACGAUAAAGCGGGUGAAAAGCCCGCUCGCCGGAAGACCAAGGGUUCCUGUCCAACGUUAAUCGGGGCAGGGUGAGUCGACCCCUAAGGCGAGGCCGAAAGGCGUAGUCGAUGGGAAACAGGUUAAUAUUCCUGUACUUGGUGUUACUGCGAAGGGGGGACGGAGAAGGCUAUGUUGGCCGGGCGACGGUUGUCCCGGUUUAAGCGUGUAGGCUGGUUUUCCAGGCAAAUCCGGAAAAUCAAGGCUGAGGCGUGAUGACGAGGCACUACGGUGCUGAAGCAACAAAUGCCCUGCUUCCAGGAAAAGCCUCUAAGCAUCAGGUAACAUCAAAUCGUACCCCAAACCGACACAGGUGGUCAGGUAGAGAAUACCAAGGCGCUUGAGAGAACUCGGGUGAAGGAACUAGGCAAAAUGGUGCCGUAACUUCGGGAGAAGGCACGCUGAUAUGUAGGUGAAGCGACUUGCUCGUGGAGCUGAAAUCAGUCGAAGAUACCAGCUGGCUGCAACUGUUUAUUAAAAACACAGCACUGUGCAAACACGAAAGUGGACGUAUACGGUGUGACGCCUGCCCGGUGCCGGAAGGUUAAUUGAUGGGGUUAGCGGUAACGCGAAGCUCUUGAUCGAAGCCCCGGUAAACGGCGGCCGUAACUAUAACGGUCCUAAGGUAGCGAAAUUCCUUGUCGGGUAAGUUCCGACCUGCACGAAUGGCGUAAUGAUGGCCAGGCUGUCUCCACCCGAGACUCAGUGAAAUUGAACUCGCUGUGAAGAUGCAGUGUACCCGCGGCAAGACGGAAAGACCCCGUGAACCUUUACUAUAGCUUGACACUGAACAUUGAGCCUUGAUGUGUAGGAUAGGUGGGAGGCUUUGAAGUGUGGACGCCAGUCUGCAUGGAGCCGACCUUGAAAUACCACCCUUUAAUGUUUGAUGUUCUAACGUUGGCCCCUAAUCGGGGUUGCGGACAGUGUCUGGUGGGUAGUUUGACUGGGGCGGUCUCCUCCUAAAGAGUAACGGAGGAGCACGAAGGUUGGCUAAUCCUGGUCGGACAUCAGGAGGUUAGUGCAAUGGCAUAAGCCAGCUUGACUGCGAGCGUGACGGCGCGAGCAGGUGCGAAAGCAGGUCAUAGUGAUCCGGUGGUUCUGAAUGGAAGGGCCAUCGCUCAACGGAUAAAAGGUACUCCGGGGAUAACAGGCUGAUACCGCCCAAGAGUUCAUAUCGACGGCGGUGUUUGGCACCUCGAUGUCGGCUCAUCACAUCCUGGGGCUGAAGUAGGUCCCAAGGGUAUGGCUGUUCGCCAUUUAAAGUGGUACGCGAGCUGGGUUUAGAACGUCGUGAGACAGUUCGGUCCCUAUCUGCCGUGGGCGCUGGAGAACUGAGGGGGGCUGCUCCUAGUACGAGAGGACCGGAGUGGACGCAUCACUGGUGUUCGGGUUGUCAUGCCAAUGGCACUGCCCGGUAGCUAAAUGCGGAAGAGAUAAGUGCUGAAAGCAUCUAAGCACGAAACUUGCCCCGAGAUGAGUUCUCCCUGACUCCUUGA
RNAcentral lists this ribosomal RNA (2788 nucleotides) under Escherichia coli. Its description in RNAcentral is "bacterial LSU rRNA". It matches the Rfam family "Bacterial large subunit ribosomal RNA". Lineage: Bacteria; Pseudomonadati; Pseudomonadota; Gammaproteobacteria; Enterobacterales; Enterobacteriaceae. The record is from RNAcentral.